RNAcentral lists this ribosomal RNA (1346 nucleotides) under uncultured bacterium. RNAcentral describes it as "bacterial SSU rRNA". It matches the Rfam family "Bacterial small subunit ribosomal RNA", at positions 28 to 1381 of the family's 1533-position model. The record is from RNAcentral.
GACGAACGCUGGCGGCGUGCUUAACACAUGCAAGUCGAACGGAAAGGCCCUGCUUUUGUGGGGUGCUCGAGUGGCGAACGGGUGAGUAACACGUGAGUAACCUGCCCUUGACUUUGGGAUAACUUCAGGAAACUGGGGCUAAUACCGGAUAGGAGCUCCUGCUGCAUGGUGGGGGUUGGAAAGUUUCGGCGGUUGGGGAUGGACUCGCGGCUUAUCAGCUUGUUGGUGGGGUAGUGGCUUACCAAGGCUUUGACGGGUAGCCGGCCUGAGAGGGUGACCGGCCACAUUGGGACUGAGAUACGGCCCAGACUCCUACGGGAGGCAGCAGUGGGGAAUAUUGCACAAUGGGCGGAAGCCUGAUGCAGCAACGCCGCGUGCGGGAUGACGGCCUUCGGGUUGUAAACCGCUUUCGCCUGUGACGAAGCGUGAGUGACGGUAAUGGGUAAAGAAGCACCGGCUAACUACGUGCCAGCAGCCGCGGUGAUACGUAGGGUGCGAGCGUUGUCCGGAUUUAUUGGGCGUAAAGGGCUCGUAGGUGGUUGAUCGCGUCGGAAGUGUAAUCUUGGGGCUUAACCCUGAGCGUGCUUUCGAUACGGGUUGACUUGAGGAAGGUAGGGGAGAAUGGAAUUCCUGGUGGAGCGGUGGAAUGCGCAGAUAUCAGGAGGAACACCAGUGGCGAAGGCGGUUCUCUGGGCCUUUCCUGACGCUGAGGAGCGAAAGCGUGGGGAGCGAACAGGCUUAGAUACCCUGGUAGUCCACGCUGUAAACGGUGGGUACUAGGUGUGGGGUCCAUUCCACGGGUUCCGUGCCGUAGCUAACGCUUUAAGUACCCCGCCUGGGGAGUACGGCCGCAAGGCUAAAACUCAAAGGAAUUGACGGGGCCCCGCACAAGCGGCGGAGCAUGCGGAUUAAUUCGAUGCAACGCGUAGAACCUUACCUGGGUUUGACAUGGAUCGGGAGCGCUCAGAGAUGGGUGUGCCUCUUUUGGGGUCGGUUCACAGGUGGUGCAUGGCUGUCGUCAGCUCGUGUCGUGAGAUGUUGGGUUAAGUCCCGCAACGAGCGCAACCCUUGUUCACUGUUGCCAGCACGUUAUGGUGGGGACUCAGUGGAGACCGCCGGGGUCAACUCGGAGGAAGGUGGGGAUGACGUCGAGUCAUCAUGCCCCUUAUGUCCAGGGCUUCACGCAUGCUACAAUGGCUGGUACAGAGAGUGGCGAGCCUGUGAGGGUGAGCGAAUCUCGGAAAGCCGGUCUCAGUUCGGAUUGGGGUCUGCAACUCGACCUCAUGAAGUCGGAGUCGCUAGUAAUCGCAGAUCUGCAACGCUGCGGUGAAUACGUUCCCGGGGCU